RNAcentral lists this long non-coding RNA (5955 nucleotides) under Gallus gallus (chicken). The record is from RNAcentral. Lineage: Eukaryota; Metazoa; Chordata; Aves; Galliformes; Phasianidae.
UGGAUUUUUAUCAGUGAAGUGUUAAUUCAAGCAGUGAGCAUAAAGGAAUAGUGAAUAAUUCAAAACAAAACAAGCUGAACUCUAAACAUCUGAAUCCUCAAAAACUUUAUUAAGAGGAAGGCAGUAGCCAAGUGAAGCAGCUGGAAUCACACUGAAGUCACUCUGAACUCUACAGAUCACUUCGUUCUUCCUUCUGCUACAGAGAGCACAUCCCUGACUUACAGCGUACUUUCUUCUGAAGAACUUAAGAAGGAUAAGAACAUCAUUAUUCAGAAUAGUAACAGUCAUGCAGAAUUAUAAAGAAUUCCUUAUGAGCUGAGCUGAAAGGUGUGUGCAUUUCCCCUACUAUCAUGAAGUAAGUUGGAGUGAUGUGAAUCUAGUGAUCUACGUGGAUAAAUUUAGCUAUCUAGCUAAAACUACAUGGAAUAGUGUUUUCUAGGAAACAACAAGAUUUAAAACUUCCUAUAUGAGCAUAUAAUAAGCAGGGCUGAAUUCCACCUCCUGUUCAGCUGUAGUGAUAGCCAUCAUUGUCCCCUUUAGCCUUUUUAAAUGCUAUCUUGCAAACUCAAACAAAAUACCAGAACUCUUUUUUGUAGCUUUAUAGAAGAUGCAUAGAUUCACUAAGAAUUAAGGUGCAUUCACAUUCUAGCUGAAUAAAAUUUUCUUCCUGAAUAACUCCACAUUUAAAUUUUUCAGUCUGUAGUCUGUUCUUAGAUAUUUUUGUGUGUGAAUAAUUCCACUAUUCCAAACAGUAAAUAGAUAUUUCUGCAGAACACUGUGGUCUGUUGAAUGCUUUUGUUACUGGCUUUUCUGUUCAUUUUAUCUUGUGGAAUGUGCCAGCAGUUCUGAUGUCUCUCUCACUGCGGUUGCUGGUUGUCUGGCUAAUUUUCACUCAUUAUUUCUAAUAAUGGUUUGAUUUGUCUUCAUUCAAUCUGAAGCUAGAAGCUUCGUAAGAGAGCAGAGCUGCAUUGUUGCUGGCUUUGCAGAGGAGAACUGAGCUGGAGGAACAGUUUCUCAUGGCACGUUACCAGAAGAAACUGCUGAGACUGGGGUGGGCAGUACACAAGAGACAUAUGGUUUUAGAAAGGAAGAUAUCAUCAUGCAUGGAUCAUCUCUCCAACACUCUUUGCUACUUCUACAGUGUGCUCGAAGUUCCUGACACAAAAAGAAAAACUCCUCAAAGCUUUUGCUUCUAUGCUCUUAUUUUCUGUGUUCCAGAUGCCAUGGGCUUGGAAACACGAGAUUAAAAAAAACAACACAUCAGGCUAUGACUGCUCUCUUCCAGAGAUAGCUUCUACUGGCUUGUUGCAGCUCUUUUUCACCUGCCCACUGCUUUACAGCAUUAUAUUUCUUUAGAGUAUUCUUUUCAUUGGUGGGCCCAAUGACAAAUUAACCUGUUUCUAUAACCCAGGUUUGGUUUCAGGAGUAUCUACAAAGGCGAGCACUCCAGAAGACUCCAGACUUUGCCAGGAACUUUAGCUCCCAAAGAGUAUCCAGAUUCCAGUAUCUACUGUUAUUCUUAUGCUUUUCUAACCCUAAAAAUCAUUAAGAGUUGUAGAUGCAGUUUUAACAUAUUUAUAGCCAUAGGCCAUCUCAUACCCAGGUAUACUUGUAUAAGAAUGGAAGCCAAACAAAUUAAAUUUUCCAUGGUUAGCCUAAUGUUUAGUUAUCUGUUUACUUCUUUUGACUUGAGUUUUCUUUGUUUGCUUUUUUUUAAAAUGUCAAUCAGGACACCACUUGCAGAGAAACGUGCACAAUCUAAUGGACAAUGAAUGCCAUUUUUAAUUUCACUUCUAGAAUUAUUGAUUAGAUCACAGGAAGAUCUUCCAGGGGGACAGGGAGCAACAUAUUCCUAUCUCUGUUAACUUCACUUGUCUUCUUCCAAACUUCAUCUCUUUCUUUCUUCCCUAAUAUCUCUCUCCUGUCCCUUUCUGACACUUCUCAGAAGAAAUCAGAAGAAAUAUUUCAAGAAUUAUAAGACACAGGUGUGAAGAACCAGCACCUUUUCCCUUUAUCCACAACAUUUAUUUGCCUCUUCAUUGCUUUGGCAAGGUCUAGAUUCUACCUUCUUCUUUUUCUUUGAAUCUACUGUUUGGCUUUAGGCAAGUUAGUUCUGUUCCUUUCCCUAUUUCUUUGUGUCUCUUUAUGCUGUUUUAAUUAUAAACAAGGCAGGAAUUGUCUCUCAUUAUGUGCUUACUGUGCCUAGAUGCAGUGAGGCUUUGAUCUCCAAAGGCUACAGCCUUUGAAUGCUUUUCCAACAUAAAAUACUUGCCUCUUUCUGCAAGUGUGAGCCUGGCACAGCAAGUUUUGAUCUCUUUUGAAGCUACCUGGUUGAGAGACAAAACUGUGAAUAGAAAGCCCCUGAAGCAUUAAUGUAAUACCAUUUUCAACACUCCCAUUUCUUCUUUCUGGUCAUCUUUCGAAAAGCUCAGCCUCAUAUUGUUCAAGUGAGAUGUUUCAUAAUUGUUAAGAACCAUUGUCCUUUUAAUAGAAGUAAGAAAGAUGUUUCUCAGUGUCUUAAACUCUUACCGGAGUGUAUUGUGCCACAUCUCAUGAGUCUAAUUCCAUGUGACAUAAAAGUGAUAUGCAAAAGUAAUGUAGGAAACCUGUAAAACCAGUAUUUCCAAACUUCUAGUUUAAUACCUGAAUCAGAUGCCAUCUAUUCUUACCAAUGCUAGAGAGCGUUCCCUGUACCACAUUAGGGAAAUAUAUAAAUACCCAGUCCUCCCGAAACUGUUUUACUAGUAUGGUGGGGGCUUUGGGGGUUGUUUUUUUUUUUUCCCUUCAGUUUUUCCAGAAUAGGGACAGUGCUUAUUUUAGACUUGAGCUUAAAGUUAAAAGAAAAUAAGAAUAAAUAAGAAUCUUUGUAUGAGUACUAGUAGUACACAGUGAUUCUAUUACAAGUUCUGCUCCAGAAGUAAUGCCUCCUAUUUUAUUGUGUUGGCCCACAACAUCAGAGGUGGGUAUUGAUGGUAUGGCAGUAGAGGUUGAACCUUCCCACCUUCAUAAUGGCUGUUUUGUAGAGAUUACAGUAACCCUUUACACUCAAAAGAAUAUCAAAAAAGUUAUUUAUACUUCUAGCUGUAUUAACAGAGGGGAAUGAGAGCAAGAGCUGACUGCACAGUUAUGAGGUCGUCUCCUCCCAGUGCAUAUCUCAAGGAAUGUCAAUGUCAAGUCAGUAAGAACUGGCUGCACAGUUAUGAGGUCGUCUCCUCCCAGUUCAUAUCCCAAGGACAUCCAAGUUCUUGUGUUUUCUUUAUAGACUGUAACCUUAGUGCAUGGGAUCUACAGGAAAAUAGAUCAAUUUUUACCAAAUGCAGUUGCUGGUUCUAGAGACUUUUGGGUUACCUGCUUAUGGAAAUAAGCUGCUCAAUGGCAGCAGUUGUCUGGAUGAUUUGUUAUAUUCAAACCAGAGUUACUGUAGAUACUUUUCCUAUUACAGAAGCAUUUUUUUUUAGAUACAGAGUAGGAUUUUCCAUUUGUUGUUUAACAUUUCUGUGGCAGCAGAAGCCUGUGUCUGAAAUCAUUGUUUUACCAGUAUUAACUGCGUCUGUUCUACGAGUUAAUCUCACUGCAAGAUUCACUUUGUCUGUACAAAAUGUUAUGAGACUAUUAUCUGGUCAGAUGACUUCAGUACCGCAGAUGAAGUGGUGUAUUAUGACUAACAGUAUCAUGUUCGGCCUUGCUUAAAUACAGUUGCUUUUGGCAUAAGUUUUAGAAGAUGUCUAGCUAGGACAUUGCAUAUGCAUUUCUAAUGCUGUUUCAGUGAGAGGCAUGAUGGAGAAUGAUGAUUACUUACACUCCUGUCUUAUCUGCUAGAGCAAAUCUAUAUCUGUAUUGUGUCUUGAAAAUGUUUCCAGUACAUAUCAUACCAUCAUGAUCCAUUCAACCUGUUGAAUUCACAACAGCAUACAAAGUCACUUUGUUACUGUAUGUCUACUGACCAUUAGAACAACUGUGCAUUUUUGUGGAAGAGAAAACACACAGAAAAGUAGAAUCAAGGCUUGUGUGUAUACCAGAUAAAACAACCAGUUUCCUAGAAGCUUUGUCUGCAGGGUCAGAUUUAAGCUUAAAUUAUACCAUAGCUAUAAUUUAAUCUUGUCAUAUGGGUAUACCAGACACCUCUUGCUAUAAGAAUAUUUCCACAAGGAGGCAAGUGCUCAUCUUACAUACAUAGUUGGCUGACAGUUUGUAAUCUCACCAGUAUUGUCUGUUAACUUUAGGAUUUUUACUUAUGCCUUUGUAAAAUACUUUCCAGAAAUACAUUUUUCUAAACAAACUUGCUCAGCCAUCUGUGUUUAUCUGUGAAGUUCAAAACUACUAGAUGCAUUUCAUGUUUAUGUAUUUGAAGCUACAUACAUUCAAAUUUUGGCACCUCAAAAGCUUGAAGAUUUUUCAGAGAUUCUUUUUUUUCCCCUCACAAAUGAAUUCUGUAUCCCAAUAAACUGCUAAGACACAGCAUGACAAGCAGGCUUUGGGUGGCCUCUCGAAAAAGCUAGCUAUUCUCCAACAUCUAAUUCUUGCACAUGACAAAUGCUGAAGUGAAUCAAUCAAACAGGCUUUCCUGUAGCCAUACAUCAUAUAUGCAGAAUAUGAUAUGCUCAGAAUUAUUAAUGAAGACAUUAAAAGAAGGGGUUUCGUGUUAUAUGCCCUCUAUGAAACUAAGUAUUGAGACAGCAAGCUCCACAUACUAUAAUUUUCCUAUUAAGUCAGGGCCAGCCAUUGGGACCUCUGAAAUCAACUUAGCAGCCCAAAGGCUCUCAGCACUGUUUAUCACACUGCACAAACAGAUUCAGAGGUGGCCACUCAAAUAUUUGUUAACUUUUAACCAACACAGACAAUGAAUAAACUCUUCCCUUGGACGUAUCUGUAAAUUUUUGGUGAGGGAGAGGCUGCAUGGGCUGCAGCCCAAACAUGUGGCAUAAGUUACCAGUGCAAUUAAACUGGACCCUAACUUGCAUGGUUGCCCAGAGAACUUUGAACCCCUAGGAAGACCUUACAUUGAGCGAGGUGGAAGGAAAUAGUGACUGUUUUGUUUGUCUUCUCCUAUUUUAGGCUGAAAACCCAGACUAAUUUCAUUCCAAAGCCAUUCCACUAACCUCAGGGCUGAGGCAUGGCAAGGUCAAGCAACUUCCCUUGGUCAAAGAGAAUGCAUACAGCACAGCCAGGAAUAGAGUCCAUAGACCUUGUACCAUGUCAUAACUGCAAGGCCCUUCUUACUGUGACAAAAGUUAUUCUUUUGUGAGCAGGUUCAGUCAUCUGUCUGAGUUGUCAGUAUGGCACACCUUCCUAGAAUACUAUAAUGGUGGCAGAGAAUACAAAAUUCAGGUACUUGUAAUAAAAAACUGAAUUUGUUAAUUCAGAUCUUAUUCUGCAUUUCCUCCCUGAAAUGCAGAGAAAGGCAUUGCAUAUGAUGCAUAGUAAAAUUUCUUCCCAGCAGCUCUUAGGCUUUAUGUUUUAGAUACAUUUAUUAACAAUAUUUGUUUCUUUGAACGUUCUGUCCUAGGAUCUGAAAUACAUUAACACUGAGCAUCAUCCUGUGAUACUCCUAUGAAGUCAUUUCAUAAUUGAUUUCAGUUUCACAGAAGGGCACAGGAAAUGAAUCCUCCUAGUCAAACAUUCUGAAGCCUAUUUGCUUAAAAUUUAACAACUAUAUUCGUAUAAUUAAGCAACUGAAUCAAGGAAACUCAGUUUUCAGAGCUGCUUGUGACCUCAGCAAACAGGAACAGACACCAGUCAAAGGACAACUGGUGAGCAUACACUUUACACAGACUGUGUACUAUUUAAAAAGAGGACAGGAUGAAGUCUAAACUUGGUUAUAUUCAUCCAAACGCAAUACAGCACUGUUCUGUAACCUGUAGCUGCCCCCAGGUCCUAUUGCCAGGUCUCUGACCACAUUUUCCUGUUUAUUAAGAAAUGCUUACAUUGAACUGCAUCAUCUCCCUCUCCCUUUCU